Long non-coding RNA from Octopus sinensis (East Asian common octopus), 691 nucleotides. RefSeq lists it as uncharacterized. The transcript is spliced from 2 exons. The record is from RefSeq and is a predicted model, not a curated record. NCBI's taxonomy places the organism in Eukaryota, Metazoa, Mollusca, Cephalopoda, Octopoda, Octopodidae.
UUAAUUAUAAGCAUACAUACAUUCUUAUACAUAUACACAUUAAUAUAUAUGUAAGUAUACAUACAUACACUCUUUCUCUCUCUCUCUCUCUCUCUCUCUCUUACAGAGGUACCUCAACAUACAAUGGUUACAAGUAACUGCAGUCAGGGAGACUGUUGUCAUUUGAUGUGCUAGAAAUAACAGUCAAAUUUUCCUCAGAUCAAACUCUGCCAUCUCAAAAAAAAAAAAAACGAAUGACACAUUGGAUAAUAUAUUUUCAGAUGGGUUGGUAAUGAUCUUUCAUCAUGAGUUUGUUUAAUCAGAGUAAAACAACGAAAGUAACAAAAAGUUUACAAAGUUGAAUCAAAUUAUUUCUGAUGUAGGCCUUUUGUACACACAACUAAUGAAAUAUGUGCUUCAUGAUUUUUUAUACUACACAUUUUGUUAUGUUUCUAUCGUUUAGCUCCAGGUUAGCUUUUAUUGGGUGGACCUAUGAUCAAAGGCUUUCUAAGCCAUAACCAUCCUAUCUCUUUUUACAUGGCAAUGUGUAUCUGAAAUUUGACUGUUUCUAGUAAGUUAAGUGACCACAUUAGAGUUUACCUCUUGUCUUGUGCCUUUUGUUAUUUAUUGUGUAAGUGAUGUAAGAUAAACUCUGUUCUAUCAGUAUUUUUGAUACUAACAUAUGAAUUGAAUAAAAGUAAUGAUUACUAUA